RNAcentral lists this ribosomal RNA (440 nucleotides) under uncultured bacterium. Its description in RNAcentral is "partial 16S ribosomal RNA". It matches the Rfam family "Bacterial small subunit ribosomal RNA", at positions 338 to 795 of the family's 1533-position model. The record is from RNAcentral.
CCUACGGGAGGCUGCAGUAGGGAAUUUUGCGCAAUGGGCGAAAGCCUGACGCAGCAACACCGCGUGCAUGUUGAACCCUUCCGGGUGUAAAGUUCUUUCAAUAGGGACGAAUUUUGACUGUACCUAUAAAGGAAGCACCGGCUAACUCCGUGCCAGCAGCCGCGGUAAUACGGAGGGUGCAAGCGUUGUCCGGAAUCAUUGGGCGUAAAGCGUUCGUAGGCGGGAAGGUAAGUCUGAUGUUAAAGCCCGGGGCUCAACUCCGGUUCGGCAAUGGAUACUAACUAGCUAGAAUGUGGUAGAGGUAAAGGGAAUUCCUGGUGUAGCGGUGAAAUGCGUAGAUAUUAGGAGGAACAGCGGUGGCGAAAGCGCUUUACUGGACCAUUACUGACGUUGAGGAACGAAAGUGAGGGGAGCAAAUGGGAUUAGAUACCCCUGUAGUC